RNAcentral lists this ribosomal RNA (253 nucleotides) under uncultured bacterium. Its description in RNAcentral is "partial 16S ribosomal RNA". It matches the Rfam family "Bacterial small subunit ribosomal RNA", at positions 524 to 776 of the family's 1533-position model. The record is from RNAcentral.
UACGUCGGGUGCAAGCGUUGUCCGGAAUUAUUGGGCGUAAAGGGCUCGUAGGCGGUUUGUCACGUCGGGAGUGAAAACUCGGGGCUCAACCCCGAGCCUGCUUCCGAUACGGGCAGACUAGAGGUAUGCAGGGGAGAAUGGAAUUCCUGGUGUAGCGGUGAAAUGCGCAGAUAUCUGGAAGAACACCGGUGGCGAAGGCGGCCUUCUGGACGGUGACUGACGCUGAGACGCGAAAGCGUGGGGAGCAAACAGG